CUCCCCAGUUAAGUGGGCUUGAUUGUGGGGAAAACUCCAUAGUUAAGCGCGCUUGAGCCAGAGGCGUCUUGGGAUGGGUGACCACCUGGGAAGUCCUGGUUAUCGGGUGC
Picea glauca (white spruce) is the source of this 110-nucleotide non-coding RNA. The record is from Rfam. NCBI's taxonomy places the organism in Eukaryota, Viridiplantae, Streptophyta, Pinopsida, Pinales, Pinaceae.